This 497-nucleotide ribosomal RNA is filed under the name uncultured bacterium. RNAcentral describes it as "partial 16S ribosomal RNA". It matches the Rfam family "Bacterial small subunit ribosomal RNA", at positions 28 to 507 of the family's 1533-position model. The record is from RNAcentral.
GAUGAACGCUGGCGGCGUGCCUAAUACAUGCAAGUCGAGCGAACAGACGAGGAGCUUGCUCCUCUGACGUUAGCGGCGGACGGGUGAGUAACACGUGGAUAACCUCCCUAUAAUACUGGGAUAACUUCGGGAAACCUGCGCUAAUACCGGAUAAUAUAUUGAACCGCAUGGUUCAAUAGUGAAAGACGGUGUUGCUGUCACUUAUAGAUGGGUCUGCGCCGCAUUAGCUAGUUGGUCAGGUAACGGCUUACCAAGGCAACGAUGCGUAGCCGACCUGACAGAGUGAUCGGCCACACUGGAGCUGAGACACGGUCCAGACGCCUACGGGAGGCAGCAGUAGGGAAUCUGCCGCAAUAGGCGAAAGCCUGACGGAGCAACGCCGAGUGAGUGAUGAAGGUCUUCGGAUCGUAAAACUCUGUUAUUAGGGAAGAACAAAUGUGUAAGUAACUAUGCACUGAUUGACGGUACCUGAUCAGAAAGCCACGGCUAACUACGUG